GAUGAACGCUAGCUACAGGCUUAACACAUGCAAGUCGAGGGGAAACGACAUCGAAAGCUUGCUUUUGAUGGGCGUCGACCGGCGCACGGGUGAGUAACGCGUAUCCAACCUGCCCAUCACUUGGGAAUAACCUUGCGAAAGUAAGACUAAUACCCAAUGACAUCCCACGAAGACAUCUGAAUGGGAUUAAAAAUUUAUCGGUGAUGGAUGGGGAUGCGUCUGAUUAGCUUGUUGGCGGGGUAACGGCCCACCAAGGCAACGAUCAGUAGGGGUUCUGAGAGGAAGGUCCCCCACAUUGGAACUGAGACACGGUCCAAACUCCUACGGGAGGCAGCAGUGAGGAAUAUUGGUCAAUGGGCGAGAGCCUGAACCAGCCAAGUAGCGUGCAGGAUGACGGCCCUAUGGGUUGUAAACUGCUUUUAUAAGGGAAUAAAGUGGGUCUCGUGAGACUUUUUGCAUGUACCUUAUGAAUAAGGACCGGCUAAUUCCGUG
Molecule: ribosomal RNA, 492 nt
Filed under: uncultured bacterium
Lineage: Bacteria
Description: partial 16S ribosomal RNA
Rfam family: Bacterial small subunit ribosomal RNA
Source: RNAcentral